RNAcentral lists this ribosomal RNA (253 nucleotides) under uncultured bacterium. Its description in RNAcentral is "partial 16S ribosomal RNA". It matches the Rfam family "Bacterial small subunit ribosomal RNA", at positions 524 to 776 of the family's 1533-position model. The record is from RNAcentral.
UACGGAGGGUGCAAGCGUUACCCGGAUUCACUGGGUUUAAAGGGUGCGUAGGCGGGCAGGUAAGUCCGUGGUGAAAUCUCCAAGCUUAACUUGGAAACUGCCGUGGAUACUAUUUGUCUUGAAUAUAGUGGAGGUGAGCGGAAUAUGUCAUGUAGCGGUGAAAUGCUUAGAUAUGACAUAGAACACCCAUUGCGAAGGCAGCUCGCUACACUAUUAUUGACGCUGAGGCACGAAAGCGUGGGGAUCAAACAGG